Xyrichtys novacula (pearly razorfish) is the source of this 1780-nucleotide non-coding RNA. NCBI's taxonomy places the organism in Eukaryota, Metazoa, Chordata, Actinopteri, Labriformes, Labridae. The record is from the annotation of a GenBank genome assembly.
UUUCUUUUCCCGCCUGGAGAAACAAACAGAAGAGCUGAGGAGAGGGUUGGGUGGUUACAAACAGGCUGCCACCAUUAUCAAAACAUGGCUGCUCUCGCUGGAAAAUUGAACAUAAAAAAACGUCUGCUGGCUGUGAAAACCAAACAGGCCGUGAGGAGGAGCUAAAACGGGGAAAAGACAAGACGUGGAGACCAUAAACUAACACGUAUGUCAGAUACAAUCAGGGUGAAAUUCGAGACACGUCUCCGGAAACAAAAGAAAUCCACAGUUUACCAGAGCUUCGACUGAAGAUUGACAGCAAUGUUUGAGUUCUGCUUGUGUUAGCUGUGUGGCUCCAGUGAUGACGGGUUUUGUUGGUCCAUACUGUUGCUUGAAAGAUUAAAUCUGAAACAGAACCAUCUGGAAUUAAAAAACCCAAUCCAUCAGGUGAUCCAGAUUGCUGUAAAUCCCAUCAAAGAAAAUCUGACAGUUUACCUUUGUUCAGUUACAGAUUACCAGCCCACUGAGAAUUUUAUGGUCUAAAAGAGGUCUAAUAGACGUCUAAGUGUAGUCUAGACGACGGUCUAAAAUCAGGCUACCACAGGUCUAAAAAUGAAAGUUUUCAGACGUCUAAAUUUAGACCGAGUUUAGUCUAGCCAGCUAACAGAGGUCUACCAGUAAUUAUUUUGGUUUAGUUCUUGGAGAUCAGUUAUGCAACUCACAGUUGCUUUUUGAAAUAAAUACUUAUCGAAUAGCGGGUUAAAGUGCAACGUCUAAAUUCCGUCUACAGAUAUACAGAAUCUAGACGGUUGAAAUUAGGUCUAAAAAAUAACUAGAUGUCUAAUAACCAUCUAUUGCUCAGUGGGAGUGUUGUAAAUAAGUUGAUGUCCUUCACACUUCGUGCCAAAAUCCACACAAAAGAUCCUUGCAGUCAAAGUCCCUGUACACUAAAGAGAUAUAUAAUCACGUUUGCCCACAGACUCAGGUUCAGUUUUCUGAGUUGGUGCUCAUAAUCCUGUCAGUGGAUGCAGGUCUCUGUGGACACUUUCCCAUCGGCACAUUUUGGUUUACUGGUGUUUUUGUGAGUCCCCUCUCAUCAGAUGUACCGCUGGUGGUUCAGAACCAAUAGCUGUGCAGAAAUUGAUGGUCUUCUUGUGGUUCUAGUAAAGCUGGACCACCUCUGUCUGUUUUUCAGGAGUGGAUGGACACAGUGUUUCCUUUUCUCUUUUUCUGAAAGUGAAAGACCCACAGAGUCACCCUCACUGCUGGCUGAUUCAGUUUUUGUUCUGGAAAUUUUCGCAGUGAAAAGCAGCAGACCUGGUGUGUAUGCCGUUGUUUUACGGGAUCACAGAUGCAAUGAAAUCUGAGAAUAACUGUCUCAGGGCUUGUUAGAAUAAUGUGCAUAAAUGUAUAUAGAAGUUAUUCCUCAUAUUCUUAUGUAAGAGUUUAUACUACAAGUAUAAACUGCGUUGACAUCUUUUUAUGCAUUAUAUAAGAGUAUUUUUAUCAUAUAAGAGUGUUUCCUAACUUCUCUCUUCAAUAGCUUAACUACACAGUACACAAUGUUUCUUUCAGUUUUCUGUGACCGUGUUUUUUCCUAUCAGCAGGUGUGGGUGUGGGGGUGAAGUAUCCUCCGCUGUGAAUCAUGGAAAUUAGAGGAGGAGCCGCUCUUAUCAGAAGGAGUUCGUUAGAUGCCGCCUUGACCUUCACAUAUUCACAGUUGUUCAUUAUUAUGUUUUAUGAGAGUGCUUACUUUGCUACACAAAUUUUUCCCCACCCUUUAGAAACAUUGUGUGACCAG